RNAcentral lists this ribosomal RNA (944 nucleotides) under Cladophialophora chaetospira. RNAcentral describes it as "eukaryotic LSU rRNA". It matches the Rfam family "Eukaryotic large subunit ribosomal RNA", at positions 1 to 963 of the family's 3401-position model. Lineage: Eukaryota; Fungi; Ascomycota; Eurotiomycetes; Chaetothyriales; Herpotrichiellaceae. The record is from RNAcentral.
GUUGACCUCGGAUCAGGUAGGAAUACGCGCUGAACUUAAGCAUAUCAAUAAGCGCAGGAAAAGAAACCAACAGGGAUUACCUCAGUAACGGCGAGUGAAGCGGUAAUAGCUCAAAUUUGAAAUCUGGCCUCUCGGGGUCCGAGUUGUAAUUUGUAGAGGAUGUUUUGGGUACCGCCCCGGUCUAAAUUUCUUGGAACAGAAUGUCAAAGAGGGUGAGAAUCCCGUCUUGGACCGGCGGUAGGGCCUGUGUAAAACUCCUUCGACGAGUCGAGUUGUUUGGGAAUGCAGCUCAAAAUGGGUGGUAAAUUUCAUCUAAAGCUAAAUAUUGGCCAGAGACCGAUAGCGCACAAGUAGAGUGAUCGAAAGAUGAAAAGCACUUUGAAAAGAGAGUUAAACAGUAUGUGAAAUUGUUGAAAGGGAAGCGCUUGCAACCAGACUUGAGCGCGGCGGUUCCCCCGGUCUUUUGGCCGGGCUACUCCGUCGUGUCCAGGCCAACAUCGGUUCUGAGGGUCGGUCAAAGGCCUUGGGAAUGUAUCUACCUACGGGUAGACUUAUAGACCAGGGUGUCAUGCGGCCUCUCGGGACCGAGGAACGCGCUUCGGCUCGGAUGUUGGCGUAAUGGUUGUCAGCGACCCGUCUUGAAACACGGACCAAGGAGUCUAACAUCUAUGCGAGUGUUUGGGUGUCAAACCCGGAACGCGAAAUGAAAGUGAACGGAGGUAGGAAGCUUCGGCUGCACUAUCGACCGAUCCUGAAGUUUACGGAUGGAUUUGAGUAAGAGCAUAGCUGUUGGGACCCGAAAGAUGGUGAACUAUGCCUGAAUAGGGUGAAGCCAGAGGAAACUCUGGUGGAGGCUCGCAGCGGUUCUGACGUGCAAAUCGAUCGUCAAAUUUGGGUAUAGGGGCGAAAGACUAAUCGAACCAUCUGGUAGCUGGUUCCUGCCG